GAUGAAGAACGUAGCGAAAUGCGAUAAGUAAUGUGAAUUGCAGAAUUCAGUGAAUCAUCGAAUCUUUGAACGCACAUUGCGCCCGCCAGUAUUCUGGCGGGCAUGCCUGUUCGAGCGUCAUUUCAACCAUCAAGCCCCCGGGCUUGUGUUGGGGACCUGCGGCUGCCGCAGGCCCUGAAAAGCAGUGGCGGGCUCGCUGUCACACCGAGCGUAGUAGCAUACAUCUCGCUCUGGGCGUGCUGCGGGUUCCGGCCGUUAAACUACCCUUUUAACCCAAGGUUGUCCUCGGAUCAGGUAGGAAGACCCGCUGAACUUAAGCAUAUCAAUAAGCGGAGGA
Molecule: unclassified non-coding RNA, 337 nt
Filed under: soil metagenome
Description: partial contains 5.8S ribosomal RNA, internal transcribed spacer 2, and large subunit ribosomal RNA
Rfam family: 5.8S ribosomal RNA (bases 1-120)
Source: RNAcentral